UGCCCGAUGGUGUAAUGGUAGCACUUCAGUUUUUGGUACUGAAAGUCCAGGUUCGAAUCCUGGUCGGGUAG
This 71-nucleotide transfer RNA is filed under the name Phycisphaera sp. RNAcentral describes it as "tRNA-Gln". It matches the Rfam family "tRNA". Rfam says of the family: Transfer RNA (tRNA) molecules are approximately 80 nucleotides in length. Lineage: Bacteria; Pseudomonadati; Planctomycetota; Phycisphaerae; Phycisphaerales; Phycisphaeraceae. The record is from RNAcentral. RNAcentral also lists the same sequence under 2 other names.